CCUAGUUGACACAAUAUUUCAUUUAAGGCACACUGAGUUCUCAGAAUCUUUAUUGUGGAGACCGCAAUAAAAACUGGAGGCUUUCUUUUUUGUUUUUUUUAAUUAUGUUCUGCAAAGCUCUAGUUAUUGGUAUACUUUGAAAGAGAUGGAAAAUUACCUUCUAGUGCAAUAGUUAAGAACGAAACUGCUUACAGCCAUCAAUGAGUUUAGGUCAUCAGUGAUGGUUUCUGUAUACUGUGUAGAUUUCUAUGUGACCAAUAGAGAUUUUUUCCCUUUCAUACAGCAAACAUUUGUGCUUUCUUGUCUAAUUUCACAUUCUGAUUCUUGAAAGCAGGAAAAAGACGUUGAAGCGAUCAAAGAGAGUCUCCACGGCUAUCAGAAUAGCUUUUGGACGUGCAGUGUCUCUAAGCUUGGAUAAUCUGGUACUGCAAUCAUCUCAGGGAUUAAACCACUUUCUAUCGGAUAUGGUCUCGGUAUACCCGAUCAUGAUACCGAAGGACGGCUUGUCACGGUGGAGUUUGAUGACUUCUAUUUACUGUGUGGAUAUGUUCCAAAUUCUGGUGAUGGACUACGACGAUUAACGUACAGAAUUACAGAGUGGGAUCUUUCUCUUGGCAAUCACCUGAAAGUAAGUGUUCCUUUCUUUACUGACAUCUUACGCACCAUGUAUCAUUUGUCUACAGGUACCUCAAUUUUCAAGGUUAAGCUCUUUUGACUUUUUCAUUUUUGGAUAGGCAUCUUGAAUCUCAUCCAUUCAAAAUCAUCAAGCCAUUUAACCUUCAUUCAAUGAAUACAGCCAGGGAUACUUCCACUUUUUGUCUACUAGCACUAUUUGUUCUUAACUUCCACUUGUGGAUUUUCCCCUUUCGUAUUUGUUUCGGCUGUAUCUUGUUUUUCGUGUUCUAGACAUUACUAUUUUGGUUUGUUAACGUCUAAUCUCCCAAAAAAAAAAAAAAAAUCUUCUGUGGCUUUGCAGGAGCUAGAAAAGUUGAAACCUGUUGUUUUGACAGGUGAUCUAAAUUGCGCCCACAAGGAGAUAGAUAUCUAUAAUCCUACUAUAUGUACUAUAUUGUCACGUUAUACUCUUUAUUUAAGAGCUAUACCCUGUAUUUAUUUGAGAAUCAACACAUUGAUUUAUCUCUGUCUAAAUAUGUCAAAUCUUGACCUUAUUGCCUUCAACAACCUGAGCAAAUAAUGUUGUAUAUCUUCUUUAUUAAUUUGAAAACCAUUAAACAAUUGUUUCC
Molecule: long non-coding RNA, 1244 nt
Organism: Lycium ferocissimum
Lineage: Eukaryota; Viridiplantae; Streptophyta; Magnoliopsida; Solanales; Solanaceae
Exons: 3
Source: RefSeq, a predicted model, not a curated record